UUUUUUCUUUGUUUUGAUUUUUAAGAAUUAUUUAUUUACUUUAUGUAUAUGAGUACACUGCUGCUGUCUUCAGACACACUGGAAGAGGGCAUCAGUUCCCAUUACAGAGGGUUGUGAGCCACCAUAUAGUUACUGAGAAUUGAACUCAGGACCUCUGGAAGAGCAGUCAGUGCUCUUAACCCCUGAGCCAUCUCUCCAGUCUUAGAGGUCAAUUGUUUUAACAUAAGAUAAAUUAUCCAUUUUAUGGAGAAACCCUGUCUAGAGAAAAGAACAAAACAAAAUAUGGUGAUACAAGAAAACUGAGUAAGGGGAUUCCUACACCACUAUCCUAAGUAGCUAGAAAGGGGAUAACAGGUAGUACAUAAGAGCUUGAUUUGAUAAAAGCCCAGGUAGUUCUACAGUUAAGAGGAAUGAGGGUGGGGAUGGUAAGAUAACUUAGAGGUUAAGAACACUGGCUGUUUCUUCCAGAGGUCCUGAGUUCAACUAUCUAUAAAGGGUUCUACCCUUCUUCUGGCAUGUAGGUGUCCAAGCAGACAGAGCACUUCUACAUUAAAAGAAAAAGGAAAAGAAAGAGAAAAAGAACAAGAAAAGCAUCAGUACAUAGUACUUCAUUGUCUUUAGUAAAGUAGGAACAAGUUUUAACAGGUGAAUGGAAGUGAGGGUGUUACUGGUUUAAAAAGAAAGAAAAACAAGUCCAUUUGUAGUGUAUAGCUUUUCCCUAUAAAAUAAAAGAGAGAAGAGGCAAGAUGAUCUUAAACUAAAGGUCAGCUUGAGUUAUGCAAUCUGGACUGUAUGUAAGGCAGAGAAAGAGAAUCUUGCAACCCAAUUAUCUAGGAGAGUGAUAGUGUGGACUGAGUGUUGACUGACUGGCAGGAUUAAAGGCCCACCGAGAUUUUUAAUCUCAAGAAUUUGAAAAUAUGGUCAGUCAGCACAGUUAAGUUGUCUAUCUGUGUUUCCAGCUAUUUUCCAAUGCAUGGUGCUAGGAACCAAACCUGAGUCCUUUGCAAAAGUAACAAGUGCUAUUAACUACGAACAAUCUCUCCAGCCCUCUCCUACUUCGUGUGUAUGUGUGUUUGGGGGUUGGGGGUUGGAUUUCCAAGACAGUGUUUCUCUGUGUAGCCCUGAUUGUCCUGCAACUAACUCUGUAGACCUGGAUGCCCUAAGAAUUCAGACCUGAGAUCUGUUCUGAUAGGAUUAAAGGCAUGCAACAACACCACCCAGUUCUCCUAUAUUUCAUUCCAAUUCAGAGUCAGAAGUCAGAAGACCAGGAAGCAUAAUCUUAAGAUUCUAUCCACUCCCAACAUCAAAUAAAAUACUAAGUACUGAACAUUUAAUAUACAGAGCUUUCCCCUCUUUUUCACAUGGCCUUUUCCACCAAUGCAAUGCUCUCAAAAUCUGUGCCUAUCCUAUUUGCCUCUAGAAGUGAAUACAAUGAAAUGAUCUGUUUACUUUUUGUAGAUCAAACUGGCCUAGAAAUCCACCUGCCUAAGCCUCCUGAAUUCUGAGAUUAAAUUCUGAGCACAACUUAAAAAUGAUCCUUUCUCGUUGGGGAUUUAGCUCAGUGGUAGAGCGCUUGCCUAGGAAGCACAAGGCCCUGGGUUCAGUCCCCAGCUCCGAAAAAAAAGAACCCCAAAAAAAAAAAAUUGAUCCUUUCUCAAAAGAAAACAAACCUGUCACCUUUCCCCUUUCCUAGGCUAGGGCUCCGCACGAAUUAGCCCAAUCUCGCUGUUUCUCUGCACUCUACCAAAACCAUCCUGACAAAUGUCUCUUGCAAGUAUACAGGCUUGCUUACAUUUUUAAGUUACCAGAACAAAGCACACCAUUCUCCUCCUUUCUUCUGUUGUGCUUCUAUGGGGCACAUAGCUCCUUCACACUGCUGCACUUGAUUUUCAUCUUUCAAAAACCCAAUUCAGCUACCCAUUUUUCCAGGAAGUUAUUAACCUACUCCAACCUAAAUAGUGAUUCAUCUUCUUCCCUUCUAUGCUAUUCCUAUACCCUGGUCUUUUUUUUUUUUUAAAGAUUUAUUUAUUUCAUGUAUGUGAGUACACUGUAGCAGUCUUCAGACACACCAGAAGAGGACAUCAGAUCUCAUUACAGAUGGUUGUGAGCCACCAUGUGGUUGCUGGGAAUUGAACUCAGGACCUCUGGAAGAGCAGUCAGUGCUCUUAACCACUGAGCCAUCUCUCCAGCCCCCUAUACCCUGGUCUUAUCUAGAAAAUUAUCACACAUGUAACUAGAAAUGGUUUUCAAUGUCUAGGGAGCUUAAAGAAGACCAUACACAGAUACCUAUUCUGGAAUAGUCUCUUUUACCCUUCCCCAACCCAAAGACACCUCAGAACAACCACAAAAUCCAAGCUUCCAUCAGGAGCUACUGAGGAAGGACCGAGCCAAUCAGGAUCUACCUCACAGAAAUAGACAUUAAAUUAAAAUAGAAAGUUGGUAUAUUUGUGUGGCUGAGAAAUGUUAAGACAAAAAUAAAGGCUGUGAGAACAGUCACAGGUUUUUACUGGAAAGAAAAGGCAAGCAGGUCCUCAAAAAAAAAAAAAAAUCCCAUCAUGAGUGGGCAGAGUGAAAUGGUUUAAUAAGAAAACACAGUAUUAAAGGCCUUUGGACUGUUGCUUUAGUCCCACCUAAGCCUCUCCAAAUUCCUGCCAAUACCAUCUGUAAGCAAGACCCCUAUUUCUAUUAUUCACAGCUAAACGUUCCAAAUGGUAUUUUACUGAACUUUCCUAUCUUUCUUUCCUACUAGCAACAUGAAGGCAAGCAGUGUCUUAUUCAUGUCUUCAUCUACAGGACUAGCAGACCCUUAAAAACAUCAGGUGCUCAAUGACCAUCAUUAAGAACUACUAAGACAUCCUAAAAACUGUGUAUUUUAUAUAUAAAUUUUAUCAAAAAUAUAUAAAAACAUACUGUUCUUUAAUUAAAGAAUGAUGAGAUGAGGAGCUGGAGAGGUGGCUCAGUGUAAGAGCACUCACCACUCUUGCAGAGGACCCAGGUUUAAUUUCUGGGACUCACAUGGUCAUUCACAACCACAGGCAACUCCAGUUUUCAGGGAUCUACCACAUUCUUCUAACUCCAUAAGCACCAGGGACAUGUGUAACACAUAUACAUACAUUCAGGCAAAACGGUCAUAGACAUAAUAUAAAUCUAAAACAGAAAACAAGAAUAAUGAAAUGCUAUGAGAAAAAUUGUUUUGUUUUUCAAAACAGGGUUUCUCUGGAUAGUCCUGGAUGUCCUCAAACUAGCUCUGGAGACCAGGCUGCCCUAAAACUCAGAGAUCCACCUGCCUCUGCCUCCUGAGUCCUAAGAAUAAAGGCAUUCACAAUGCCAGUCAAAAUUAAUUUUUAAAUUAAUCAAAAUAGAUGAAUAUAAAAUUAAGACUAUAAAUAGAAUAUAAAAUAGAAUGUAAAAAGAAAUAGGCUUGGUCAGGUGUGGUAGCACACACCUUUAAUUCUAACACUCAGGAGGCAGAGAAGCAGGCAAAUUUCAGUGAGUUUGGGGAUAGCCUGGUAUACAAAGAAAGUCCAGGAUAGUCAGGGAAACCCUGUCUCAAAAAAAAGAAAAUGAAAAAAAGAAAAAAAUUGAUAGAAAAUGUGAGAAAUAAAAGGCAGGCAGUGUCUUAUUCAUUCACUUAGAUUUGAUAAUUGAUGUAUAUUGAUUGUAGAAUAUAUACAUAAUUAUUUCAGUUUUUUUAAUAUCUAAGAUUUUUAUAACAAAUUCUGAGAGAAUUAUAAUAGUAAUAAAUUGCAUUGACCUAUACAGAAACAACUUACAUAUGAAUAUACACUCUGUAUAAUAGAUUAUAUAUGUGGCCCUCAUCCUUACAAUGAAAAUUCAAAAGAAACUCAACUGGUAUAGUUGGCGGUAGGUUUUCAAAGUGCUGACUCCACUUUCUCAUUUAGUUGUUUCUUCUAAGAGUGACACCAUGAAGCACUCAUGGUUUGUUUAAUCCUAGCACACAGUCAGUAGAGGUGGGUCAAUCUAUUUGGUCAAGUGAAUUUGAGGCCAGCUUAGGUUACAUAGCAAAUUCAGACCAACCAGAGCUACAUAGUGAGACUACCUCAAACGAGCAAAGAAAAAGACAAUAAUGAAACACAAAUAAAUACAAAACCAAAUAAUUUCAAUUUCAUGCCUCCUUUAAAACUAGUUUUAUGGGGUUGGGGAUUUAGCUCAGUGGUAGAGCGCUUGCCUAGCAAGCUCAAGGCCCUGGGUUCAGUUCCCAGCUCCGAAAAAAAGAAAAGGAAAAAAAAAAAAGAACUAGUUUUAUACAGAAUAAUCCAUAUCAAGACUUCUAUUAUUCAUCAAAACAACCAAAAAAGAUCUUGAAGCUUUAUGCUCUUAAUUUUCUUCACUAGGAAAAACAGACAUAACCACAGACUUCUAAAACUGGUCAAAAAGCCAAAAACAACAUUUCUCAAAAAAAAAAAAAAAAAAAAAAAAAAAGA
Non-coding RNA from Rattus norvegicus (Norway rat), 4445 nucleotides. NCBI's taxonomy places the organism in Eukaryota, Metazoa, Chordata, Mammalia, Rodentia, Muridae. The record is from RefSeq and is a predicted model, not a curated record.